Molecule: unclassified non-coding RNA, 572 nt
Filed under: Hevea brasiliensis (rubber tree)
Lineage: Eukaryota; Viridiplantae; Streptophyta; Magnoliopsida; Malpighiales; Euphorbiaceae
Source: RNAcentral
CAAAAAUCCUCACAGCUGCCUUCCGAGACCACCACACGAGCGCAAAAAGUAGACACUAGUGCUCCAAGAUUGUACACAGCCUCACUCUCUCACCCCCAAUCAAACUUCUUCUGUGUCUGAAAUUCCGAGUCUCUUCUACCAUCUCUAAUCCGCCACCACCACCGUCUCAGCCACCCAAAACCACCACCCACCACUACCUUUACGAGAUUCUAAAAAUCUUUAGCCCAUACAAUCAACUUUUUUUUUUUGAACAAAUGUUGUUGAAUAAUUUUUCAUAUAUUAAAACAGGAAAAAGAGGAAAAUUUACUCACUUACAAAAAUUCAUCACCAACGCUAGAACAAGUCUAUAUUUAAUAUUUUUCAAGAUUAGGGAAAGAGAAAGUCUUGAUUUUUCUUGAAAGUUUCUGCAAAAAGUUUCUUUCUUUUAGCUUUCUAAAAGCCAAGUUGUAUCUAAUCACAUGGAACCACCAGAGAAUAGUAACGCCAGCGGUGGUGCGGUGGGUUUUGAAGAUGCUCAGAAGAUAAUUCUCCGGUGGGAUUCUACUGCUUCAGAGGAAGCCAGGGAGAGGAUG